GACGAACGCUGGCGGCGCGCUUAACACAUGCAAGUCGAACGGAAAGGCCCUGCUCUUGUGGGGUGCUCGAGUGGCGAACGGGUGUGUAACACGUGAGUAACCUGACCCUGACUUUGGGAUAAUUUCAGGAAACUGGGGCUACUACCGGCUAGGAGCUCCUGCUGCUUGGUGGGGGUUGGCACGUUUCGGCGGUUGGGGAUGGACUCGCGGCUUAUCAGCUUGUUGGUGGGGUAGUGGCUUACCAAGGCUUUGACGGGUAGCCGGCCUGAGAGGGUGACCGGCCACAUUGGAACUGAGAUACGGCCCAGACUCCUACGGGAGGCAGCAGUGGGGAAUAGUGCACAAUGGGCUGAAGCCUGAUGCAGCAACGCCGCGUGCGGGAUGACGGCCUUCGGGUUGUAACCCGCUUUCGCCUGUGACGAAGCGUGAGUGACGGUAAUGUGUAAAGAAGCACCGGCUAACUACGUG
Molecule: ribosomal RNA, 468 nt
Filed under: uncultured bacterium
Lineage: Bacteria
Description: partial 16S ribosomal RNA
Rfam family: Bacterial small subunit ribosomal RNA
Source: RNAcentral